Molecule: long non-coding RNA, 1115 nt
Organism: Nematostella vectensis (starlet sea anemone)
Lineage: Eukaryota; Metazoa; Cnidaria; Anthozoa; Actiniaria; Edwardsiidae
Exons: 3
Source: RefSeq, a predicted model, not a curated record
AGAAUGCCCAAUCUGAUCAAGACGUUGAAUUUCAACGACACAUUCCUGAAUUUUGAUCACUUGAAGGCAAGCUUUCCCCAGUACAUAGUUAAGUGUACCACAGAGGACAAGUCUCUUCAAGUUCCGCCCUUCAGGCUUGGCACUGAGUGCGAUUCUGCUUAUCAACACGGCAACUCCCCGAGCUCUCACAUGUAUACGUAAGUUUGUAGCGCACCGUCCUGUUAAAAAAACACUUGCACCCUUCACACGUGAAGACCCCGUAGUGCCGCCCGGAAGACGGUGCAGAGCACACGGCACACUCGAUGGUCUUGUCUGGGUUGUCGUACCAAUAAACUUCGUGCAUUUGCGACCACGAAGACAUUUUGUGUUCUGGGUCUGUGUCAAUGGGUGAGCAAGUUCGACAAGUGACUCGGUGACCGUUUCUACUGGCAUUGUGACAUUCAACCUAGGUGUCGUCCUAUUUAUUGCAGAGGGUAAUCUUGCACCGAUGUAUGAAUCUUUAAUUACUUUACAAUUGCACUGGGUAACGAGACAAAUGGUUUAGCACCCUUUUGUUAGGCAGCAAUCGUCGCCUAGGUCCGAGCAAAUGUUGCAAGGAAGACAACAGGCCCUUUUAAUCAUAACCUGAAGAUUUGCAUUCAAAAACAUUAUUAGUAAGGAAUUCUUUAGCCUUUUCUUCGACGAUUUUAAUGCAUUACAAAAACAGUAGGGUAAAAAAUCCUUACCUGAGCUGUUUGUAAGACUUUUGUUGUCUUACACGUGCAACUUUGCGGACCUAAUGCACCUUAGAGUGUUUAUGCAGAGGACCAAUACUCUAAAUGUCUUUUUAUACAAGCACGCUUUUAUGCGGGUCUUCUUGUAAAAAGGCACACGGCCAGUCGUGCGUAAAAACAACGGGUUCCCAAAAAGACAGAAGAAGGCAAGAUAAUAAAACUACACCGAUAUUGUUUAGACGAAGGGUGAGCAGUUUGCAACAAAACUAAUUGUAAAUCUUUUAAUGCACGCGCAGUUUUGAGAACAAGAGAAUGCGAUAUUUUUUAUAAAUCAAAAUAUGUUGACUAUACUUUGACUAUGACUUCAAUAGAUAGCCUUUUUUGGAACAAACACAAUGAGUA